Molecule: long non-coding RNA, 725 nt
Organism: Python bivittatus (Burmese python)
Lineage: Eukaryota; Metazoa; Chordata; Lepidosauria; Squamata; Pythonidae
Source: RefSeq, a predicted model, not a curated record
GUCGCAAUCCGUCGCACGUGCCGUGAUGUAUCAUGGGAAAUGUAGUGCCAGCGUGCCUAGAGGCAAACGCAGCUUGCUUAAUGUGCUGUUUCUACCAACUUCCUUGUGAGCACCUUGAAUUAGACUCAGAAAGCAACUAGCAACCAAUGCUGCUGUUUCAACAAGUGAUGACAUCACACUUCUGUAUGGUCUCUCUUCUCCAGUGCUGACUCAUGAAAAAGGGGAGGAUGCCUUCUAAUGUUGCUUCCAUCCAUACAUACACACCAACAAGAAUGGAAUUCCUGAAGCUCUUUUCUGUGGCCUCCAGAACCUGCGAAGAUGAUGUUGCCAGGAUUCAGCAGAAAAGUGCCAUAUAAUGAUGGUGAAAUUCCUCUGAUUUUCAAUGACAAUCCAAAAUUCAUGGGGAAUUGAGCCUGAAAUAGGCUCAAGUCCAAGCCUAGAUAAUUGGAGGAAAAACUAUAAACACCAAGGAAAAAGGACCCACAAUCUUAGCACUGCCCCUCCAAUUAUAUCAUCAACCAUGAAAAUCAUCAUGAUCACCAUCAUCAUGGUAGAAGGCGUGAUUUUUCUAUAUCAGAGAGAACAUGAGCAUCCUAAAUAUUACCCAAAUCCUAUUAUACCCCUGUGCUAUAAUAUACUGGUCUUUUUUCUCUUUCUUUGUGUUAAUUUAUUUAGACAAAUACACUUCAAAUACACUGCUUAUAGCCCUGACAAUUCCCCCCACC